UCCAUCCUUGUUUCAGAUUGGAGAACUGCUCUUUCUUUCACUCAUUCCACAAAAGCUACAGGGUGCUUUUAUGAGGUUUAACUGACUGAAGCCUACGAGCCACACAACACUACUCAUCCCUUUAAAGCAAAUAGAAGACUGGAAGGAAGAAAUUCUUAGAACUUUUAAAAUGUACCAGAGUGAAGAAAAGAGCUGUCAGAGGCCAUGACUGCACAUUCACAGUGUGAAACUCUGGAUGGAUGGUUACAGAAUGUUAAAAAUGAAAAACUGCUAAGAAGAAAGUCAGCAGAACACAACUCCUGCAAGAACUCCUGUUCCUGCAUCCCUGGGACUUCAUAGCAAAACCUGUCUGCUCCAGUGAUGAAAGCUGCCUAGUUUUUCUACCAACAUCACUGUUUUCUCAUUAAAUUUCCAGGGAAAGGUUUAUUUUUGGGAAUCUUCUAAAAAGUCCUGUAACAUUUCAAGAUUAGGAGUGGAUGACAGCUGACAAAAAAUGAUCAUUAAGAUAAGUCAAAGUCCAUGAGGAAUCAAAAGUGGAAAUAAAGAAAUUCCAAAGUGACA
Molecule: long non-coding RNA, 561 nt
Filed under: Cyanistes caeruleus (blue tit)
Lineage: Eukaryota; Metazoa; Chordata; Aves; Passeriformes; Paridae
Description: lncRNA (ENSCCEG00000010148.1)
Source: RNAcentral